UACGGGGGGGGUAAGCGUUGUUCGGAAUUACUGGGCGUAAAGGGCUCGUAGGCGGCCAACUAAGUCAGACGUGAAAUCCCUCAGCUUAACUGGGGAACUGCGUCUGAUACUGGAUGGCUUGAGGUUGGGAGAGGGAUGCGGAAUUCCAGGUGUAGCGGUGAAAUGCGUAGAUAUCUGGAGGAACACCGGUGGCGAAGGCGGCAUCCUGGACCAAUUCUGACGCUGAGGAGCGAAAGCCAGGGGAGCAAACAGG
This 253-nucleotide ribosomal RNA is filed under the name uncultured bacterium. RNAcentral describes it as "partial 16S ribosomal RNA". It matches the Rfam family "Bacterial small subunit ribosomal RNA", at positions 524 to 776 of the family's 1533-position model. The record is from RNAcentral.